CAGAGUUUUGAGUUUUUAGUUUAUGAAUUUAAAAUAUUAUAAUAUACGAUAUCUAUAGAAUUUUUAAUUGUCCUUAUUAUCGAUCAUGUAACAAUGGGGCGGGGAGUUAGGUGUGUACACUAGAGCUACCUAGUAAUUAAAUGUAACGAUGUUAAAGAACAAUAAACGAAAGUAUUAACCGAUAGUACGGACCACGGUUAUCUACUGACGAACUAUGAAAAAAAUUUACACGGAAACGUCAUGGCGGGCAGAUAUUGAGCGGACGGGACGUAUAGGUAGCGCUAGUGCCGUGCACGAACCUCCCUCCACUGGCACAUUAAGCUUGCGAACCACAAGCGGCCGAGCGAUACGGCUCUCAUUUCCAGUCCAUUCUAUCUUAGCCCGAGAUAUUUUUAAUUUACUAUAUCUACAACAUAUUAUAAUAUUAAUAUAUAUUAUAUAUUUUUAAAAGACUUUCAAAUAAACC
Molecule: non-coding RNA, 466 nt
Organism: Cinara cedri
Lineage: Eukaryota; Metazoa; Arthropoda; Insecta; Hemiptera; Aphididae
Source: the annotation of a GenBank genome assembly